CUGCAAGAAGACUACAGAUGCUAUCAAUGUGGCCUUAACUGUAUUUCCGUGAGGUUUAUCGCCUGCAUGGAUUGUCGACAUCUAUUGUGUCUGGUCGGGAUACUCAUUUCCUCAACUACUUUUGGCGCAGUUUAUGGUGCUCGGUGAAUACACAGUUGGACUUCAGCGGUGCAUAUCACCCUCAAAUAGAUGGUCAAACAAAGGUUGUUAAUCAUUCCUUGGGUGAUUUACUACAUUGGUUGGUUGGUGAUCACAUCAAGUCUUGGGAUCAGAAGUUGUGUCAAGCAGAAUUUGCUCACAAUCAUGCUUUUAACCGAAGUACAGGUUUUAGUCCAUUCCAGGUGGUGUAUGGACUUGUUCCACGUCAUCCUCUUGAUCUAGUUCCAGUUUCUACUUCUGUUAAAAUGCAUAGUAAGGUCGAAGACUUUAUUCAGCAAUUGCAGCAGGUUCACUCACAAGCUCAUGAUCAGUUGCAGGCUGCUAUCACUGAGUAUAAGCGUGCUGCGGAUCUUAAAUGCCGACAUGUUGAAUUUAGGUAGAUGACUUUGUUUGGAUGGUGUUAACAAAGGAUCGUGUUCCUGCUCAUGAAUACAACAAGCUUACUACAAAAAAGAUUGGUCCAUUGAAGGUCAUUGAGAAGAUCAAUCCGAAUGCUUAUCGUUUGAAGCUGCCCAACCAUAUUCGUACAUCCGACGUGUUCAAUAUCAAGCAUUUGGUGCCAUUUCGUGGUGAUAAUUCCGAUGAUGAUGAAGCUCCUUUCCUGUCAAAUUCGAGGGUGAAUUUUUCCCACCUUUGGGAGAAUGAUGAAGUGCAUAAGGGAUUAGAGUUUAUGAUGAAAUGGGACCGUCACAAGGCAUAAAAGUGGUUUUUGAUUUCAUGAUAACUUCGGGUUUGUUCGUUUUUGGCAAAUUGCUAGUCUAUUUCGAUUGGAAUCGAGCCAAUGAAUAAAUUUUUGGCAAAAUCCAAUGUUUAGGCCCUCGUUUAGGCGUUUUUGCUAUUUAUGGUAAUUUUUGUUUUUGCAAUAUCUCUUUCCAUAAAAUUCGG
Molecule: long non-coding RNA, 1044 nt
Filed under: Olea europaea subsp. europaea
Lineage: Eukaryota; Viridiplantae; Streptophyta; Magnoliopsida; Lamiales; Oleaceae
Source: RNAcentral